UCUCCGUUGGUGAACCAGCGGAGGGAUCAUUACAGAGUUGCAAAACUCCCACAAACCAUCGCGAAUCUUACCCGUACGGUUGCCUCGGCGCUGGCGGUCCGGAAGGCCCUCGGGCCCCCCGGAUCCUCGGGUCUCCCGCUCGCGGGAGGCUGCCCGCCGGAGUGCCGAAACCAAACUCUUGAUAUUUUAUGUCUCUCUGAGUAAACUUUUAAAUAAGUCAAAACUUUCAACAACGGAUCUCUUGGUUCUG
RNAcentral lists this unclassified non-coding RNA (250 nucleotides) under plant metagenome. RNAcentral's name for it is "partial contains small subunit ribosomal RNA, internal transcribed spacer 1, and 5.8S ribosomal RNA". The record is from RNAcentral.